RNAcentral lists this ribosomal RNA (253 nucleotides) under uncultured prokaryote. RNAcentral's name for it is "partial 16S ribosomal RNA". It matches the Rfam family "Bacterial small subunit ribosomal RNA", at positions 524 to 776 of the family's 1533-position model. The record is from RNAcentral.
UACAGGGGGGGCAAGCGUUGUUCGGAAUUACUGGGCGUAAAGGGCUCGUAGGUGGCCAACUAAGUCAGACGUGAAAUCCCUCAGCUUAACUGGGGAACUGCGUCUGAUACUGGUUGGCUUGAGUGCAGGAGAGGAACGCGGAAUUCCAGGUGUAGCGGUGAAAUGCGUAGAUAUCUGGAGGAACACCGGUGGCGAAGGCGAGUCCCUGGUCCGCUUCUGACGCUGAGGCGCGAAAGCGUGGGUAGCAAACAGG